Carcharodon carcharias (great white shark) is the source of this 1122-nucleotide long non-coding RNA. RefSeq lists it as uncharacterized. The transcript is spliced from 3 exons. NCBI's taxonomy places the organism in Eukaryota, Metazoa, Chordata, Chondrichthyes, Lamniformes, Lamnidae. The record is from RefSeq and is a predicted model, not a curated record.
UGAGGUCCUUGCUGGGCCAUUUCAGAAGGCAGUUAAGAUUCAACCACGUCGCUGUGGAUCUGGAGUAAAACGUCGACCAGGCCAGGCAAGCAUGGCAGGUUCCCGUCCCUGGAGAACAUCAGUGAACAAGAUGGGUUUUUACAACAACCUGAGUCUAUUUAAGGAGAGGACGUCUUUACCAACUACAGCAAGCAGGACUCAAGACUGAAACGACAGCAACAUCUCCUGAUGACCUAACAGCAUUCCUUUUGAGACGUCCCUUUUGCAAGGCUGGAAGAGCCCGAGCUUAUGAAUAUCUUCCUCAAUGUGUUUCCUUGACACCUGGGAUCAGGAUUUCUGGCUGUCUAUUGCUUUGCCUCUUAAUCGUUUUAUGUUGUAGAUCUCAGAUUGAACAUAGCAGUUCAGAUAUAGCUGAAGCAGGUACAGCUUCACUGUGAUUUCUAUGUAUUUGAAUUCAACUGGCCAAUAAAAGUCAGUACAUUUCCUAUGUUCACUGUCACCUCACCUGAUUUAAUCAAUUAUCACCCUAGUUCUCUUUCAACAUCCCCCUUGGAGCAUUCAAUGUGUUACGAGGAUGUGCUUCUUAAAGAUACCAUUUCUAUUUUUAUUUUGGGCCAGAUUUUUUAAAAAUACACUGAGACACUCUGUACAGGCAAUGGAAAACAGUCCAGAAUGUGGCAAUCCACACAAUCUCAUGUUCCACCAAGUGGAAUGAAAAAAACAGACACUCACUCCUCUGGGGACUGUGAAAGGCCCCAUACCCCUGUUGGCUUCACAUCAUCCUGAAAAUUUUCAAAUGAUUUUGAGAUAAGACGCCAAAAUGCAAUUAUCUGCUCUGAAACAAGAACUGCAGCAGACAUGAACUAAUAGAAUUUCUCUGGAAUUUACAGCCAGCAAGGUACUUUUAAGGACUCCUUACCAAGCAGGAGAGAGAGAAAACAAAAGUCAAUGCUGUACCGAACACAGAUUUGAAGCUCUGUCUCUCUCUCUCUCUCUUUCUGGAAAGUAUUGUGCCUGGUUUUGCAAAGUAACCAUCCUGAGAAGAGAAAUUUACUGCAAAUCAAGAUCUUUUGGGACUAAUAUGUGGGAAUCGACUCCAUACAAUUACACCCAGGAAGACAA